This is a long non-coding RNA of Podarcis muralis (Common wall lizard), 633 nucleotides long. RefSeq lists it as uncharacterized. Lineage: Eukaryota; Metazoa; Chordata; Lepidosauria; Squamata; Lacertidae. The record is from RefSeq and is a predicted model, not a curated record.
GGCAAAGGAGGGGCCAAAGUGCUAUUGCACAAACCUCUUGGAUGCAUAUGAUGCCUGUAUAAAGACUAGGGCUGUCUCAAGGCAGUUUGCUGCCUGAGGUGAAGGACAAGAUGGCAGCCACCACUGUUCCACAUACAGAAGCCGUUUGGAACAGCAGUAAAACCUACUUCAGUACUGGCAAUGUGCUCCAUUGUGCCUGAGGGCAACAGGCCACAUACAGCUCUGUCCUCCAACAGAUGAAUAUGAGUCAGGGGGCUCAGGACAUGCAGUUUCCCCUGCCCACCCCCCUUACCUCACGCUGUCUAUUAGUAGGGCUGGUCCUGAUAAAGAAGGAGCGUAGAGGAUUUUGAGGCAACUGGGGGAAAGUUGGAGAAAAGAAGUCUCAGCUGCCUGCUGCCAAGCAUUGAAUGAUGCUUGUACUCUGGAGGAUAGGAAUCAAACCAAUGGCUUCAAGUUACAAGAAAGGAGAUUCUGACUAAACAUCAGGAAGAACUGUCUGAGAAUAAGAUCCUUGUGGUCCCUUCCAACUCUACAGUUCUAAAAUUCUAUGAUGCAUGAGUGAGACCUUUGAUUACUAGAAUUACAGAAAGUAACUUCUCCAAGAGCAAGGAAAAGCCCUGGGUUAAUAUUCCA